This 1734-nucleotide ribosomal RNA is filed under the name Enterobacter cloacae. RNAcentral's name for it is "bacterial LSU rRNA". It matches the Rfam family "Bacterial large subunit ribosomal RNA", at positions 1 to 1767 of the family's 2925-position model. Lineage: Bacteria; Pseudomonadati; Pseudomonadota; Gammaproteobacteria; Enterobacterales; Enterobacteriaceae. The record is from RNAcentral.
GGGUUGUGAGGUUAAGCGACUAAGCGUACACGGUGGAUGCCCUGGCAGUCAGAGGCGAUGAAGGACGUGCUAAUCUGCGAAAAGCGCCGGCGAGGUGAUAUGAACCCUUGACCCGGCGAUGUCCGAAUGGGGAAACCCAGUGCAAUCCGUUGCACUAUCGUUAACUGAAUACAUAGGUUAACGAGGCGAACCGGGGGAACUGAAACAUCUAAGUACCCCGAGGAAAAGAAAUCAACCGAGAUUCCCCCAGUAGCGGCGAGCGAACGGGGAGCAGCCCGGAGUCUGAAUCAGCUUGUGUGUUAGUGGAACGGUCUGGAAAGUCCGACGGUACAGGGUGAUAGUCCCGUACACGAAAGCACACUUGCUGUGAACUCGAAGAGUAGGGCGGGACACGUGGUAUCCUGUCUGAAUAUGGGGGGACCAUCCUCCAAGGCUAAAUACUCCUGACUGACCGAUAGUGAACCAGUACCGUGAGGGAAAGGCGAAAAGAACCCCGGCGAGGGGAGUGAAAAAGAACCUGAAACCGUGUACGUACAAGCAGUGGGAGCCUCUUUAUGGGGUGACUGCGUACCUUUUGUAUAAUGGGUCAGCGACUUAUAUUCUGUAGCAAGGUUAACCGUAUAGGGGAGCCGAAGGGAAACCGAGUCUUAACUGGGCGUUAAGUUGCAGGGUAUAGACCCGAAACCCGGUGAUCUAGCCAUGGGCAGGUUGAAGGUUGGGUAACACUAACUGGAGGACCGAACCGACUAAUGUUGAAAAAUUAGCGGAUGACCUGUGGCUGGGGGUGAAAGGCCAAUCAAACCGGGAGAUAGCUGGUUCUCCCCGAAAGCUAUUUAGGUAGCGCCUCGUGAACUCAUCUUCGGGGGUAGAGCACUGUUUCGGCUAGGGGGCCAUCCCGGCUUACCAACCCGAUGCAAACUACGAAUACCGAAGAAUGUUAUCACGGGAGACACACGGCGGGUGCUAACGUCCGUCGUGAAGAGGGAAACAACCCAGACCGCCAGCUAAGGUCCCAAAGUCAUGGUUAAGUGGGAAACGAUGUGGGAAGGCACAGACAGCCAGGAUGUUGGCUUAGAAGCAGCCAUCAUUUAAAGAAAGCGUAAUAGCUCACUGGUCGAGUCGGCCUGCGCGGAAGAUGUAACGGGGCUAAACCAUGCACCGAAGCUGCGGCAGCGACACUUAUGUGUUGUUGGGUAGGGGAGCGUUCUGUAAGCCGUUGAAGGUGUGCUGUGAGGCAUGCUGGAGGUAUCAGAAGUGCGAAUGCUGACAUAAGUAACGAUAAAGCGGGUGAAAAGCCCGCUCGCCGGAAGACCAAGGGUUCCUGUCCAACGUUAAUCGGGGCAGGGUGAGUCGACCCCUAAGGCGAGGCCGAAAGGCGUAGUCGAUGGGAAACAGGUUAAUAUUCCUGUACUUGGUGUUACUGCGAAGGGGGGACGGAGAAGGCUAUGUCAGCCGGGCGACGGUUGUCCCGGUUUAAGCAUGUAGGCGGAGGUUCCAGGUAAAUCCGGUACCUUAUUAACGCUGAGGUGUGAUGACGAGGCACUACGGUGCUGAAGUGAUAAAUGCCCUGCUUCCAGGAAAAGCCUCUAAGCAUCAGGUAACACGAAAUCGUACCCCAAACCGACACAGGUGGUCAGGUAGAGAAUACCAAGGCGCUUGAGAGAACUCGGGUGAAGGAACUAGGCAAAAUGGUGCCGUAACUUCGGGAGAAGGCACGCUGAUGUGUAGGUGAAG